RNAcentral lists this ribosomal RNA (482 nucleotides) under uncultured bacterium. Its description in RNAcentral is "partial 16S ribosomal RNA". It matches the Rfam family "Bacterial small subunit ribosomal RNA", at positions 30 to 507 of the family's 1533-position model. The record is from RNAcentral.
AUUGAACGCUGGCGGCAUGCUUUACACAUGCAAGUCGAACGGUAGCAGGCGGCGAUUUCUUGACGAGUGUCAAAGGGGGAAGUAUGGCUUACGAACGGGCACAGUCCUUAUAGAUAACGGCUAGCAACAGUAGCUAAGAGCUCAUACGGGCUAUGGAUUAAAACGGGAUACCGUAAAACUUCACGCCAGUCUUGCUGUCGAUGUCAGAUUAGUUAGUUGGUGGGGUAAAGGCUCACCAAGCCAACGAUCUGUAGCUGAUCUGAGAGGACAACCAGCCACACUGGGACUGAGACACGGCCCAGACUCCUACGGGAGGCAGCAGUAGGGAAUUUUCGACAAAGGGCGCAAGCCUGAUCCAGCAACGCCGCGUGCAGGAUGAAGGCCUUCGGAUUGUAAAAUGCUUUUGUAAGGGAAGAAACGGUUCGGGUUUAACUCCGCAGAUCAUGACGGUACCGUAAGAGAAAGCCCCGGCUAACUACGUG